UGAACGUAUGACAACCAAUUAGCAGCUGUAAAAGGGAUGUUUCAAGCCUCAUUUCCUGAUUGCAUUCAUCUAUAUAUAGCCAUGGACUUACAGGAUUCAAAAUAACUUGGGAGAAGGCUAGAGAAACUCACCAGAAAUGUAGUUUUCACUAGAGUUUCCUUGGUUCAUUAGUAUAGUAUAGGUAGAGUAGUUUAUCCAUCUUGUAUUUGUAGUUAGAUUUGGAUGAAGAUUGGAGGGGCAAAGAUGAAGAGGUUGAUCUCAUGUGACAAGGGUGAUAUCUCUUCUACUACUUUCUCUCUUGUAUUGGAUUUCAUGUUUAAUUAUAAUACA
This 330-nucleotide long non-coding RNA is filed under the name Coffea arabica (coffee). RNAcentral describes it as "long non-coding RNA (CARA_LNC000500)". The record is from RNAcentral. Lineage: Eukaryota; Viridiplantae; Streptophyta; Magnoliopsida; Gentianales; Rubiaceae.